RNAcentral lists this long non-coding RNA (197 nucleotides) under Numida meleagris (helmeted guineafowl). RNAcentral's name for it is "lncRNA (ENSNMEG00000008981.1)". The record is from RNAcentral. Lineage: Eukaryota; Metazoa; Chordata; Aves; Galliformes; Numididae.
CAUUUCUGAGCCUCUCGUGAAUUUCUCGGGGGAUGAGAGAAGUCCACUGGGUUUAACAUACAGAGCGAAUAUUUAAAAGCGAGUUUUCCAAGUCUUUCUACUUUUCUUUCCAGAAAGAAAUCCAGGUCUAAAUACUAGCAAGGGCAGAACGACACGUUACCUCAAUGAGAACCAGGAUGUUUAGGAGAAGAGAAGCA